This 253-nucleotide ribosomal RNA is filed under the name uncultured bacterium. Its description in RNAcentral is "partial 16S ribosomal RNA". It matches the Rfam family "Bacterial small subunit ribosomal RNA", at positions 524 to 776 of the family's 1533-position model. The record is from RNAcentral.
UACGUAGGGUGCAGGCGUUAAUCGGAAUUACUGGGCGUAAAGCGUGCGCAGGCGGUUUGCUAAGACAGGUGUGAAAUCCCCGGGCUUAACCUGGGAACUGCGCUUGUUACUGGCAAGCUGGAGUGUGGCAGAGGGGGGUGGAAUUCCACGUGUAGCAGUGAAAUGCGUAGAUAUGCGGAGGAACACCGAUGGCGAAGGCAAUCCCCUGGACCUGUACUGACGCUCAUGCACGAAAGCGUGGGGAGCGAACAGG